AAAUAGAUAAUGAAAAUGUUGUAUAUAUAUAUAUAGAACUUUUGAUACAUCAUCAGUCUAGAAAGAUUUAGAUCUGAAGGUUGUCGAAAUGUUUUUUUCAAAUCUUCAUUUUCAUUUUAAUGACUUUAGGUGUAAAUGGAUUUGCAAGUGAUCCAGAUACUAUAGCAGAAAUUUGUCCUACAGGUUGUUCGUUUUUAUUGGACCCUGUUUGUGGUUCCGAUGGAAUAACAUAUGAUAACCGAUGUUUAUUCAAAAUGGCAUACUGCAAAGAUGAUGAUUUAUUUAUCGCCUAUGAUGGACCCUGCAAAACGUAGAUUCGUUGUAUAUAGCAUAGCUGAUUAAAAUAAUAGUAAACAGAA
Long non-coding RNA from Ruditapes philippinarum (Manila clam), 359 nucleotides. RefSeq lists it as uncharacterized. Lineage: Eukaryota; Metazoa; Mollusca; Bivalvia; Venerida; Veneridae. The transcript has 3 exons. The record is from RefSeq and is a predicted model, not a curated record.